Hypanus sabinus (Atlantic stingray) is the source of this 14162-nucleotide long non-coding RNA. RefSeq lists it as uncharacterized. The transcript is spliced from 4 exons. NCBI's taxonomy places the organism in Eukaryota, Metazoa, Chordata, Chondrichthyes, Myliobatiformes, Dasyatidae. The record is from RefSeq and is a predicted model, not a curated record.
GGCAGUAUCUCGGAAAAGAGUACAGUAGACGUUUGAGGCUUGCCAAAGGGUCUCAGCACGAAACAUUGACUGUACUCUUUUCUGAGAUGCUGCCUGGCCUGCUGAGUUCCUCCAGCAUUUUGUGUUUGUUGCUCUGGUUAAGAACUGUUCGGCAAGUCUUUUGUCCCAAUUAAGUGGCAUAAUGUCCCAAAUAAAUGAAGGGAAUCCCAGCUGUUUUGUUGAUUAGUUUUUAUCCUUUAAGGGUUUUCCCAAACAAGUGCAUGUUCCAAUUAAUUGGUGACCAAUCCAUUGUAUGUCUAUCAAGUUGCCCUCUCAGCCUUCUAUGCUCUUGGACAGGGAUGGCCAACCUACGGCACAUGUGCCAGAAGUGGUGCAUUGGAUGGUUAGAAGUGGCAUAUUGCACCCCAGUGAUAAUAAUAAAAAAGUAAGCCUAUUCAUGCAAAAAGUAUUAACCAAAAACCAAUUUGUAGAAAAAAAGAUCUAUAACAGGAAUUCAAGUAGCUUCGAGCUAGAAAUGGGUUUUACUGAGAAUACAGGUGUGCGCUGCUUAACAUCCAUUCGGAUAAUGUCCGAUCACAGAUAUGUUCGUAGUCCCGAUUGGAGAACAUGAUGUAGCGGAGAUAACCAAUCUCGUGUGUCGCAUGUCUCUUGAGUGUAGUAGUGUUAUCUCUCUGUUUAAUUUUCUUUCGAAAAUAUUACUGUAAAAUGCAUCAUGGCUUCCAAACACAGCAAAACCACUCCUAGUGAUAGCAGCAGCAAGAGGCAAAAGAAAAGUAUUGAUUUGGAGGUGAAACAAAAGGUUAUUAAACAAUAUGAAGGUGGAAAACUAGUAAAUGCUAUUGCUCAGGAUUUAGGCAUGCCGCACAAUGAUAAAUUGUGUGUGAUAUAGGCUAAGAAGGUGUUUACAUAAAAGCUUAAAAAGUGAAAAAAAUUAAAAAGUUUAAAAUGAGAUUAAAAACUUAUAGUGUAUGUAUUAUAGUGUACAGUAUAUAGUUUUAGUGUAAGUUCUUGGCUAUUUAGUCAAUACAAGUACACUACAGUACUCCAUAUAGGUUUGCUAGAUAUAUAAUAUGGUGUUCGCACAACGUCCAAAUCACAUAACGUCCAAUUUCACAGAACGUAUCAUGGACGUUAAGCGAUGCAUUCCUGUGAAUCUAAAACUUAGCAAUUAUUUUCAGCGAUUUUAUUAUUUCAUGCACAUCUUUUGGCAAAUGUCAUCUUCUUUCACAUUAAUCUGUCUUCAAUUUUUUAAAAUGUUCAAUGAGUCAAACUAGGAAAGAAGGACUUUUGUUCUGCAGUCGUUCCAUAACUGUUCAAUACACGUUUGAUACUGAGGCACCAGGCAUCUGCACCAGCGGUGAGUCGCAGGUAUUUGCCAGUCAGCUUACAAUUCACACUCGUGAGCUAUGGAGUUGUGCUUUGUUUGUCCUUUGUGAACAUUUGCAGUUUUGUACUUUUUUGAAAAUUAAGCCUUGUUUUUACAUUCAGUUUCUUUUACAGUGCAAAAGAAAAUGAGCAAUAGAAAAGCAGAAAGUGAUAGUAAGCGUGAAUUCAAGGAACAGUGGGAAAAUGAGUUCUUAUUUAUAGCGGGUCGGUCAGGAAAACCAUUGUGCAUUGUUUAUGAAAACACUUUCUCACAUAAUAGAAGACAUGAUCUUAAUAGACACUAUAAAACACAACAUCAGACUGAAAUAGAAGGAAAACUGAAGCUAGUGCUUGGGUCUGAGUUACGGAAAGAAUAUGUGAUUAAGAAAAAGGAAGAAAUCAAAAGACAAAAUAUAUUUGUUAAAAGUCUCAUUAAGGCAUCCUGGACCUAAUAAAGUGGCCACUUCGUGUAUGUUUGUGGACUUCUGCUGUUGUAGCCCAUCCACUUUAAGAUGCUGCCUGACCUGAAUCUUUCCAGCAUUUUCUGUGUUUAUUUCAGAUGUCCUACAUCUGCGGUUUCCUUUUUGACUUUCAGUGAUUCACCACAAUCCUGAUGAGUACCUCAUAAACGGAGGGAAGUCUUUGGGAAGCUACGAGCUUGAACAUUUAUGGUUUACAACCCAUUGGUAACCUCUUAGAACUCAGCUUUACUAUCAACACAGGAAUCUUGAGCAACACACACAAAAUGCCGGAGGAACUCAACAACUCAGGCAGCAACUAUGGAGGAGAAUAAAUAGUCAACAUCCUGAUGAAGGUUGUCGGUCCAAAACAUUGACUGUUCAUUCCUCUGUAUAGAUCUUGUGUGGGAUACAGGUGACUUGACUCCCUUUAAACCCCAUAUUUUUUCCAGUAUGUUAUCCCUCAUAAUAGAGAUUUCUCUUUGUUGUUUGAAACUAGCACAUCUGCUAUCCUAGAGAUACUGGCAGCAUCACCCUGCUGUUAAGACUGGUGUAGAAGUAUUGGUGUAAAUUAUCUGCCAUUUUCUUGAUUCCCGUUAUUAAUUCCAUUGUCUCACCAUCUAGGGGGUUCGACAUAUACCUUAGCUAUCCUUUUUUUUAAUCUAGUAAUUUUUUGGUCUAGUAAUUUAACCACUUGCUGCAGUUUUUGUCUAGCAUAAAGUGGAGCCUUUUCCAACCCUAUAAUUUAUAUUCUUGUAAUUAGUAUUUUACUAUGUAUAAUUAACAGAACAAAACAAGAGCCCCAUUUCUGUGCAACCCCCUCCUCAUUCCACUGAUCUUGCGGAGUUUUACUGUGGCAAAUACAUCAUUGGCUGUAUCAGAGUAAAUGCUGGGAUAUUGGAAUCUGUAACAUGAAAAUCCCAACGAUUAUAAUAAUUGGUCACCUAUUUCAUUUUGUAGCUGUUUCACUGGAAGUGUUGAAAGGGGACCAACAAAAAUGAAUGUGACUUUAAACUUUCAGUAUUAUAGUUACAUAUUUAAACAUUUAUACAAGUUAUAUACCCUUAUCCAAAAUGCUUAGGUUAGAGAGUUUCAGAUUUUGGACUAUAUGAUGAGAUAGCUUAGGAUCACCAUCAUUUCCAACUUUGGAUUUAUAUGCUACUGGUAAGCAGUCUUUGUCCUACACUUCUUCAUCACACAUAUGUACUGAUGCAGCUGUUGAUCAUGAUAGAUUUUCAUCAUUAACAGUAGUAGCAAACUCAUCAAUGAAUUUCUGCUGCUUUGUGAUCAACUGAUGCUUUAACAUCAAAAUCUUUAAAAUUUAAUUCCACGCCUUUUCUUAAAUUUCUGCAACUAGCCUGCUGAAUAUUCACAAUUAUCUUCGAUUUUCAGUUUGUCGUGAUAGAUCUUUGCUUGUUUUAUGAUCAGCAUGCUGUUAAGUGGCAUAUGUUCACUCCAACGCUGACGAAUCCAUUGUUUCAACUCCCAAUCGAGAUCUUCAUUUUUCACUUUCUGCAGUGUUUUUCUAUUUUUCGUUAACUGUUGUUCAUUACAAAUGUGAGGUAACUUCUCAGAACCAUCUAUGCUGAGCAGAGACUUGCGCAUCACCUGGGAACCUUGCCAAUGCCUUGUGGAAUUUUCCAAUUGUGAUAUCAUGUCAGCACUCAAAAAAAAAUUUGGAUUUUGGAGGUGUUGGAUUUUAGAAUUUCAGAUAAGAGGUACUCAACCUGUACUAAUUUAUUUAUGUUCCCUUAACUACAUUUGUGUUGAGAUCUGCUUUUACGUACUUUUGAAGUAUUUGCAAAACUCAACCUAAUCAAAGUUCAAAUUAAAUUUAUUAUCAAAGUAAAUUUAUGUCACCAUAUACUAUCCUGAGAUUUAUUUUCUUAUGGGCAUCCACAGUGGGUACAAAGAAGCACAAUGGAAUCAGUGAGAAACUACUGUUACGUAUCCCGUAACUGGAUAGCUUACCAGCAAAGAUAGAGAGGUCUGUUGAAGUCUGUUGUCACUAUUUUCAAACAUUUUUAUUUAUAAAGGGACACAAAAGUAGGGUUAAUACAUACAUUCAGAUAGUGCACAUCGUCAACAUUCAAUCUAAUGCGCGGGUAUAGUAAUAAUCAUCAUUAAGAAGUGAGCUCUGCUGGUGUCUAGGGGUUAAUAGGUUGUCCGUUGGAAAUAUAAAAGUCACUCUGAAAGUCUGCAGGCCUCAGCCCUUUGAAGAUCGCUAGGUUUUGCGUGGGGCGACCGAGAGAGAGAUUGGGGGGGGGGGGGAGAAGAGAAAGAACUUGCCGAGUCUUGAUGAAUCUUCCGUGAAAUCGGGGGAGCAUUGGUUUCCUCUCCCCGAUGUUAGUUAAAAACGGUUUUCUGUGAUUCCAGCCAUAAAUUCCAAUCCCGGAAUCUAACGCACGUGGCUUCCUUCAGAAUGGCUUCCCGCUGCUGCGGGACCACUCUCUCGUGUUUUCUGGGUGCGUCUGAGGGGCUGUCCCCCUGAGACUCUCCUUUAUACUUCCUCACGGGGUCACAAGUGUCAAUCAGGUUGGGAUGAUGCAAUCUCUCUCUCAACCAGCCCACCUUGCCCGAGGGCUUUUCACGUGGUCUCCAUGAGACAAUAGUUGCUGGCAUCUUAUUCUGUAUCCCUGAUGGGAUGUGCAAUUUUUCAUGUUUCUCUCUCUCUCACUUCCUGGGUCUACUGACCCCCCCCCCCCCCCACCCCAACGGGUGCUCUUGCGAUUCUCACAAAGGAGGGGGCUGGGAUCAUAACACUACACACAACUAAUGUGCAAAGGAAGACAAAUUAUGCAAAUACAAAAAAUAAAUAUAGCAGUAAAUAAAUAAAGAGGCGGUAAAUAAUGUUGAAAACGUGAGUUCUAGAGUCAUUGAAAAUGAAUCCAUAGGUUGCAGAGUCAGUUCUGAGUUGAAGUUAGUAAAGUUAUCCACGCUCGCUCGAGCCUGUUGGUUGAAAGGUAAUAACUGUCCCUGAACAUGGUGAUGUGAGACCCAAGGCUCCUUUACCUCCUUCUUGACGGCAGCAGUGAGAAGGGAACAAGACCUGGAUGGUGAGGGUCCUUGAUGAUGGAUUCUCCUUUCCAUCUUUAUCCUCUCAUCAUGAAACAUGCCUACUUCCACUCCAGAAACUUGCUCCUUCAUCUCAGCAUCAGUUGAUUCACAGUAUAAACCAUCUCUCAUUCUUUUGCAAACUUCUAUCUUGAUAGUUCUAAUGCUUUUGUGAUUAGUCCCCAAUUCUGCAUGCCCAUUAAACCCUGGCUCAUCUAGAAACAUAGCCUUUCAGCCCACAAUAUUGUGCCAACCAUGUAACCUACUCGAGAAACUGACUAGAAUUUUCCUACUGCCCUCUAAUUUUAUAAGCUUCGUGUACCUAUCUAAGAGUCUCUUAAAAGACCCUAUUGUACCUGCCACUACCACCAUCACUGGCAGUACAUUCCACACACUCACCACUCUCUGUGUGAAAAACUUAGUUCUGACAUCCCCCUUGUACCUACUGCCAAGCACCUUAAAACUAUGUUCCCUCGUGUUAGCCAUUUCAGCCCUGGGAAAAAGCCUCUGGCUAUCCACACGAUCAAUGCCCCUCAUCAUCUUAUACACCUCUAUCAGCACACCUCUCAUUCUCUAUCGCUCCAUAGAGAAAAGGUAAAGUUCACUCAGCCUAUUCUCACAAGACAUGUUCUCCAAUUCAGGCAACAUCCUUGUAAAUCUCCUCUGUACUCACUCUAUAGUAUCCACAUCCUUCCUAUAGUGAGGUGACCAGUCUGAACACAGUACUCCAAGUGGGGUCUGACCAAGGUCUUAUAUAGCUGUAACUUCACCUCACAUAUCUUGAACUAAAUUCCACGGUUGUUGAAGGCCAUCACACCAUACGCCUUCUUAACAACACUGUCAACCUGCGCAGCAGCUUCGAGUGUCCAAUGGACAUCGACCCGAUGAUCGACUGAUCGACUGAUCGUCCACACUGCCAAGAGUCUUAACUUUAAUAUUAUAUUCUGUCUUCAAAUUUGAUCUACCGAAAUGAACCACAUCACACUUACCUGGGUUGAAUUCCAUCUGCCACUUCUCAGUCCAGUUCUGCAUCCUUUCAAUGCCACGCUGUAACCUCUGACAACCCUCCAGAUUAUCCACAACACCCCCAACUCUUGAGUCAUCAGCAAACUUACUAACCCACCCUUCUAUUUCCUCAUCUAGGUCAUUUAUAAAAAUCACAAAGAGGAGGAGACCCAGAACAGAUCCUUGCGGGACCCCACUGGUCACCAUCCUUCAUGCAGAAUACGAACCAUCUACAAUCACUCUUUGCCUUCUGUGGGCAAACUAAUUCUGAUUCUCAAAGCAAGGUCUCCUUGGAUCCCAUGCCUCAUUACUUUCUGAAUGAGGAACCUUAUCAAAUGCCUUACUGAAAUCCAUAUACACUGCAUCCACUGCUCUUCCUUCAUCAAUUUAAAACUUCCCUGUUCACAUUCUAUCCCACUCACCCAUCAUUCUCGUCCUCACCGAUGUGCAUAGCUGCAGGUCCCCAAUGUGUUUUUUUAUUUUAAUUGCUCACUCUUGCGAUUUGCCUCUCACUGUCUCUGGAGCUUCCUGACCACUGAUUUGCCCUAGUCAGAGAUCUUGUGCUGUACUCCCCUCCCUCUGCACAAUCUCUGAUUGAUGUUCACUUCCCGCUGUCCGUACAUUCUCCCCUUGACCAUCUGGGUUUCCUUUGGGUGCUCCUGUUCCCUCCCACAUACCAAAAAUGUGUGGGUUAGUGUGAGUAAGUUGUGGACAUGUUCUGGUGGCGCCAGAAGCAUGGCGACAUUUUUCGGCUGUUCCCUAGCACAUCCUUGGCAUGUGUUGGCCAUUGAUGCAUUUUAUUGUAUAUUUUGAUGUACGUAUGACAAAUAAAGCUAAGCUUUAUCACAAUUGACCUUCACUAUGACCAUUAGAUCAUAAGACACUGUUGCUGGAUUAAGCCAUUUGGCCCAUUGGGCCUGCUGCAACAUCUGAUCAUGGUUAAUCCAUUUCCCUUUCAACACCGUUUUCCUGCCUUAUCCCCAUAACCUUUUCUACCCUGACUUAUCAAGAAUCUGUCAACCACCACCUUAAAUACACUCAAUGGCCUGGCCUCCGCAGUCUCCUGUGGCAACAAAUUCAACAGAUUCGCCAACCUCCGGCUGAAGAAAUUACUCCUCAACUCUGUUCUAAAUGGAUGUCUCUCUAUUCUGAGGUUGUGUCCUUUGGUCCUAGACUCCCCCACUACAGGAAACAUCCUCUCCUAUCUGGACCUUUCAACAUUUGAUAGAUUUCAAUAAGAUCCCCCUAACUUUUCUAAAUUCUAGUGACUACAGGUUCCAAGGUUGUCAAGCCGAGGAGUGGUAGUGGGGACAAGCUCCCACUACCUAAAAGUGCUCCUCAAAUAGCCUCUGAUAACCAAGUCCAACUCCUGGCCUUCUCGUGUGGCUUAGCCUCUAAGCCUGGCAGAACUGUUUCUACUGACAGGAGAAGGGGCGAAGGCAGGUCCUGGCACCUUAAAACCAGCACUUCAGGUAGAUGGAGCUCGUCAGCCUGGGAAGGCAGUCCAACUAAGAGAGGAAAAACUGAUUUCAAACCUCCGCUGCCUUGCGGCCAUACCCAUUCAUGGGAAAGGCUUCGGGAGUAAACCCUGAGGACAAGCCUGGAGCUGGAGUCCCUAAGGCAGUCCGACGUUGCCUUCAACCUCGUUCUGGCAACUCCUGCGACGACACUGGUGCCAAGCUGUAUCGGCCCUUGCCCUUCCCUCGGACAACAUCAGUGGCAUGGAGAGGGGAGACUUGCUGCAUGGGCAACAGCUGGUCUUCCAAACAACCCUGCCCAGGCCUGCGCCCUGGAGAGGACACUUUCCAGGCGCAGAUCCAUGGUCUCGUGAGACUAACGGAUGCCAUCAACAGGCUCAGAGCCAAUAAACGCUCCUCAUAUAAAAAGCCUUUCUCAGAUAGAUCCCGGAAUCAUUUUUAUGAACCUCCUUUGAACCCUUUCCAAUGUCAGCACAUCCUUUCUCAGAUUAGAUUAGAUUCAACUUUAUUGUCAUUGUUCCAAGUACAGAUACAAAGAAAAUGAAAUGCAGUUAGCAUCUAACCAGAAAUACAAAGAACAGUGUUAUUUACAGAAUAACUGUGAAUAAAAAUUAAGUGCUACAGCACACAAGUAUAAAAGUACUGAGACUGUACAAUACGGGUGCCAUACUGCUCAGUGCUGUGAUGUGAGGUUCAGCAGGGACACAGCCUCAGGGAAGAAGCUCUUCCUGUGCCUGCUGGUGUGGAAGCGGAGGCUCCUGUAGUGCCUACCAAAUGGUAGGAGAGUGAAAAGAUCACGGUUAGGGUGAGAUGCAUCCUUGAUAAUGCUUUUCACCCUGCCCUGGCAGCGUUUAUGGUAGAUGUUUUCAGCGGUACCUGAUAAACCGCUGGGCAGUUUUCACCACCCGCUGGAGUGCUUUGCGGUCCGAUAUGAGACAAUUGCCAUACCACACUGAGAUGCAGUUGGUGAGUAUGCUCUCAGUGGUACAGCGGUAAAAGUCCGUCAGUAUCCUGGGACAGAGGUGAGCUUUCUCGAUGCUCCGCAGGAAUUAAAGGUGCUGUUGCGCCUUUUUGAUCAGGAUGGAGGAGUUCAGGGACCAGGUGAGAUCCUUGGAAAUGUGGACACCAAGGAGUUUGAAGCUUGAUACAUGCUCCACUACCGCUCCAUUGAUGUAAAUGGGGAUGUGAGUGUGGCUCCUAGAAUGCCUGAAGUCCACACUGAUCUCCUUGGACUUCUGGGUGUUAAGGACCAGGUUGUUGUUGGCACACAACGCAACCAGGUGCUGGACCUCGUCACUGUAGGCCGUCUCGUCAUCCCCUCUGAUCAGGCAAACCACUGUGGUGUCAUCUGUGAACUUGAUUAUGGAGUUAGAACCAUGUACAGGAAUGCAGUCAUAGGUGAAAAGGGAAUACAGAAGAGGGCUCAGCACACAGCUUUGAGGCAUGAGAUAAGGGGCCCUUAUCCCCAUGUUCUGGAAUUUCCUCUGAAAACCUUGCACCUCAAAGUUCAAAGUAAAUUUUAUUAUCAAAGUACAUAUAUGUACCACAAACAACUCUGAGAUACAUUUUUUCUGCAGGUAUAUAGCAAGUCUAUAGAAUAUUAACUGUAACAGGAUCAGUGAAAGAUUGGAGUACUGUGCUCAGUUCUGGUUACCUCACUAUAGGAAAGAUGUGGAGACCAUAGAAAGGAUGCAGAGGAGAUUUACAAGGAUGUUGCCUGAAUUGGGGAGCAUGCCUUAUGAGAAUAGGUUGAAUGAUCUUGGCCUUUUUUUCCUUGGAGCGAUGGAGGAUGAGAGGUGACCUGAUAGAGGCGUAUAAGAUGAUGAGAGGCAUCGAUCAUGUGGAUAGUCGGAGGCUUUUUCCCAGGGCUGAAAUAGCUAGCACGAGAGGGCACAGUUUUAACGUGCUUGGAAGCAGGUACAGAGGAGAUAUCGGGGGUAAGUUUUUACGCAGAGAGUGGUGAAUGCGUAGAAUGGGCUGCUGGCGGUGGUGGUGGAGGUGGAUACGAUAGAGUUUUUUAAGAGACUCCUGGACAAUUAUGUGGAGCUCAGAAAAAUAGAGGGCUAUGGGUAACCCUAGGUAAUUUCUCAGGUAAGGACAUGUUCGGAACAGCUUUGUGGGCUGAUGGGCCUGUAUUGUACUGUAGGUUUUCUAUGUUUCUAUGUCCUAUCAACCAGAAGACAAACUGUGUAAAUGCUAAUAUAAGUAAAUAGCAAUAAAACACAAAACAUAAAAUAACAAGAUAGAAAGUCCUCACUAAACACAUUUAACAUUUCUCUUAAAAUCUCUUCAAGCAAACUUGGAAUUUCUUACUUUGACUCUGAAUUCCUUGUUUUUAGAAAUGGCAUCCCUAAAGAGUUAAGGCUACCUCUGUACCUUAAAUAGAUGAUGGGCCUUUCAAGAAAGACAGAACAGUUUGGGCAGGUUCUAUUAUGGUAGCUAAUUUUCUCUACAAGACAUGUUAGUGAAGGUGAAUAUGAGUCACAAAGGGAGGUUUACUUGAAAAAUAAACUAUGGUUUACCAUUGAACUCUGUGAACUCAUUCAACUGACAGACUGUCAUAAAACUGCAUUAAGAUUUGCUCUGUAUAUUUAUUUUCCAAACUUCAGCCAAUUACUUAAGCAACACAUUUACACAUAGCAGCCACAUUAUUAAGCACACCUGUACACCUGCUUAGCCUUCAUCAGCCUUCCUGAUAACUUCCUCGAAAAACUCUAUAAGAUUGGUUAAGCAUGACUUAACACACACAAAGCCAUGUUGAGUAUCCAUAAUCAGGCUCUGUCUAUCCAAAUACUUGUAUAUCUGGUCCCUCAGAAUGCCUUCCAAUAGCUUUCCCACUUCUGAUGUCAGGCUCACCAGCCUAUAAUUUCCCAGCUCAUUCUUAGAGCCUUUCUUAAACAAUGGAACAACAUUAGCUACCCUCCAAUCCUCCACUGCCUCAUCCAUGGCUAGGAAUGUUUUAAAUAUCUCUGCUAGAGCCCUGCAAUUUCUGCACUAGCAUCCUACAGAGUCUGAGGGAUCACAUUGUCAGGCGCUGGUGAUUUAUUCAUCCUAAUUUGUCUCGAGGCAGCAAACACCUCCUUUUCUGUUAUCUGUCCAUGAGUUUGCUGCUGCAUUGCCUCACAUGCAUAGACUCUGUGUCUAUCUCCCAAGUAAGUACAGGUGCAAAAAAUUCCAUUGAAAAUCUCCCCCAUCUCUUUUGGCCCCACCUGUAGAUCAACAUUCUGAUCUUCCAGAGUCCCACUUUUGUCCUUUGCUAUCCUUUUGCUCUUAAUUAUCCAUAGAAACCCUUAGGAUUCUUCUUCGCCUUAUCUGCUAGAGCAACCUGAUGCCUUCAUUUAGUCCUCCUGAUUUCCUUCUUAAGUGUUCUCUUGCUUUUCCUAUAUUCCUCGAGCACCUCAUUUGUUCCCGUCUGCCUGUACCUACAUUCUUAACGACAACCUCGAUACCUCUUGAAAGCCAUAGUUCCAUAAAACUGUUAUCCUUGCCUGUUAUUUUAACAGCAACAUCCAAACUCUGUACUACCAAAAUUUCAUUUUUGAAGGCCUCCCACUUACCAAGUACACCUUUGCCAGAAAACAACCUGUCCCAAUCCACACUUGACAGAUAAUUUCUGAUACCAUCAAAAUUGGUCUUUUUCCAAUUUAGAAUCUCAACACGAGGACCAGACCUAUACUUUUCAAUAAUUACCUUGAAACUAAUAGUAUUAUGAUCACCAGAUGCAAAGUGUUCUCCUACACAAACUUCAGUCACCUGCUCUGUGUCAUUUCCUAAAAGAAGAUCUAGUAUCAAACUCUCUCUUAUUGGGACUUCUAUGUACUAAUUAAGGAAACUUGCUUGAACACAUUUGACAGACUCUUUCCCAUCCAGCCCUUUUACAUGAUGGGAGUCCCAGCCAGUAUGAGGAAAGUUAAAAUCACUUACUAUCACAAUUUUGUAUUUCUUGCAACAAUCUGCGAUCUUCCUACUAAUUUGCUUCUGUAAAUCUUGCAUAUUGCUGGGUGAUCUGUAAUAUAACCCAAUUAAAUGGUUACACCUUUUUCAUUUCUCGGUUCUACCUAUUAAGCUGCACAAAGUGAGCUCUCCAGUCUGUCCUGUCCAAGCUCUGCUGUGACAUUAUCCCUGACUAGUAAUGCCAUCCCUCCCUUUUUAAUCCCUCCCACUCUAUCGCAUCGAAAAGAGCAAAAUCCCAGAUCAUUGAGCUGCCUGUCCUGCCCCUCCUGCAACCAAGUCUCGUUAAUGGCUACAGUGUCGUAAUUCCACAUGCAUAUAUCCAUGCCCUAAGCUCAUCAGCCUUUCCUACAAUACUUGCAUUGAAUUAUACGCAGCUCAGCACAUUAUUCCCACCAUACUCAACGUUUCAAUUCCUGACUUUAUGUAUGUUAGCUUAACAAUAUCUUUCUCCACAACUUCUCCAUUAUCUUUCUGGCACUCUGAUUCCCAUUCUCCUGCAACUCCAUGCUGCACUGGCAAACCUUUCCUGGGAGAGAGCCCAAUUACACAAAAAUCUGAAGCCCUCCUUCCUGCACUAACUCCUUAGCCACAUGUUAAACUGGAUUAUCUUCCUAUUUUUGGCCUCACUAGCACAUGGCACGGGUAGCAAUCCUGAUAUCACAGCCCUGAGGGUCCUGUCCUUUAACUAAACACUUGGCUCCCUGAACUCACUUUCCAAGACCUUGUCACUUGUCCUACCCAUGUCAUUGGUACUGACAUGGACCACGACCUCUGGCUGCUCACCCUCCCACUUAAGAAUUUUGUAGAUGAUCUGAGCUGUUGACGAAUGUACGCGGGAUAAUGUACACUGUCAGCUGGUAAGGGGGUAGUGAAUUUGUGGAAUGCAUUGCCACAGACAGCUGUGGAGGCCAUGUCAUUAGGUAUAUUUAAAGUAGAAGUUGAUAGGUUCUUCAUUGCUGCCCUGAACACCAGCAGCAUAACGGGCAGUAAGUAAGAUUGAUUUGUGAUUAGUAAGGGUGUCAAAGGUUACAGGGAGAACGUAGGAGAAUGAAAUUGAGAGGAAUUAUAAAUGAACCAUGAUGGAAUAGUGGUGAAGAGUCGAUGGGCUGAAUGGCUUAAUUCAGCUCCUGUGUCUUAUGGUCUAUAAAUGUAUUAUUUCCUGAUGUUAAAGGGAUAAUAUAAUCAAUAAAUCAAAAAUGUUCCGCUUUCAUUUCUAAUCAUUCUAAACCAGGCGGGACUUAGAAGUUGCGUGAUUUUAGUUAUUAAAGCAUGACUGUCUGCUUUAUGAUAUACUAAUUUGAUGUGACAUCCAUGGUAACAAAAACAUAACAUUGUAGUGUCUUUAAAGUCCCAGGGCAUUUAGCGAUGCAAUUAUCAGAUGUAUUCAGAAACCAAGCUGUUCAAGGAGACAUUUAAAUAAGUGGCCGCAAGCAUGCUCAUGGUCGUAGGCUUUUACUGUCUAAUUCUGAUGUGAGUUUUGUAAAUUUGCAACAAUGGUGGGAUCUUGCUAAGUAGAUGAGACUGUGAAUCUGCACACUCCAGUAAUAAACACAUCAUUUUCAUAGUUGCACAAGCAACAAUACCAAUCCGUACCAAUUUAUGCAAUGUUACAAAUAUUUUCUUCGCAGUACAGGCAAUGACUAAACUUGCAGGAGUUUAGAAGAUUGAGAGGGCAGAUCUCAUUGAAGCCUAUUGAAUAUUGAAAGGCUUAGAUAGAGUGGAUGUGGAGAGGAUGUUUCCUAUAGUGGGAGAGUCUAGGACCAGCGGCCACAACCUCAGAAUAGAAAGAUGUCCCUUUAGAACAGAAAUGGAGGAAGAAUUUCUUUAGACCAUAGGACCAUAAGGUAUAGGAGCAAAAUUAGACCAUUCAGCCCAUCAUAAUUGUUCCUCCAUUCCAUCAUGGCUGAUUUAUUAUCCUUCUCAAUCCCAUUCCUCUGCCUUCUCCCUGGAACCUUUCAUCCUUACUUAUUGAGAACCUAUCAAGCUCUACCUUAAGUAUACCCAAUGACUUGGCCUCCACAGCCGUCUGCGGCAAUGAAUUCCAUAGAUUCAUCACCCUCUGGCUAAAGAAAUUUUUCCUCAUCUCUUUUAUAAAUAGAUCUACCUCUUUUCUGAGGUUGUGCCCUCUGGUCCUAGACUCCCCGAGUGUAGGAAGCAUCCUUCUUACAUCCGCUCUAUCCAGGCCUUUCAAUAUUUGAUAGGUUUCAGUGAGAUCCCUUCUCAUUUUUCUAAACUUCAGUGAAUACUGGCCCAGAGUCAACAAACACUCCUCAUAUGUUAACCCGUUCAUUCCUGGGAUAAUUCUUGUGAACCUCCUCUGGACCCUCUCCAAUACCAGCACAUCUUUUCUUGGAUAAGGGGCCCAAAACUGCUGACAAUGCUGGAGUGGUGAAGUAGACUCAAAAGGGCUAAAUGGCCUAAUACUGCUCCCAAGUCUUAAGGAAUGUCUUUAAGGAACAAUUUUUUUUCUUUUUUUUCACUAUUAUUUUUAUUAGGAGACAUUGAAGGGACAAUACCGAAACUUAAAUUGAACAAGUAUCAGAAAAAAUUUACAAAAAUUGCAUUGGCAGUAGCCAAAAAAGUUAUCGCAGUUAGUUGGAAAUCUGAUUUAUAUUUAACUAUGGAUCGUUGGAAUAAUGAAAUACAUAGUUGUAUUCCACUUGAAAAAAUUACAUAUAAUUUAAGAAAUGAAUAUGAUAUAUUUUUGAAAAUUUGGCUCCCAUAUUUACAAAAGAUAGGAUUAAAUACAUAGGUCCUUUGAAGAUAAAAUUAUAGUAAUUGGGGGAAAGUAAAGAAUAAAUAUCAAAAUUAUUUUGAACUCCAUGGAGCAUAUGGGGAUCCUCCGAUA